This 374-nucleotide long non-coding RNA is filed under the name Sorghum bicolor (sorghum). Its description in RNAcentral is "long non-coding RNA (SBIC_LNC009673)". Lineage: Eukaryota; Viridiplantae; Streptophyta; Magnoliopsida; Poales; Poaceae. The record is from RNAcentral.
AUGCCCUCAUGUCGGCUUCCCCAAAAUGCCCUCCGGCCAAAAGGCAGAACAAAGGCAAGCUGAUAAAAGGAGGUUCUUUGCAUGGAUGCGUUUGGAGUUUUUCAUAUAGUCUGAUGUGAGUUCGAUUUAUUUGCAGCCUCUAACAAUUUGCACAAGGUUGCAACAGUGUGUUUUGUUUGCGGUGUUCGAGUGUUUCGGGGAUAAUAAUGGCACGAUCCUUGAAUAAUACUCCCUUUGUACUAACUUAUCUAAAUAUAUAUAGUAGGCAGAAAAAAAUAAUAAAAAUGACAUAAAGGGGAAGCAGCAACUUGCUCCGUUGGUUAAGUUUCUUGAAUGCAACAUGCAUGUUCCAUGUGUUUUGAGUGUCUGCCCCA